Long non-coding RNA from Bombyx mori (domestic silkworm), 1226 nucleotides. RefSeq lists it as uncharacterized. NCBI's taxonomy places the organism in Eukaryota, Metazoa, Arthropoda, Insecta, Lepidoptera, Bombycidae. The transcript is spliced from 2 exons. The record is from RefSeq and is a predicted model, not a curated record.
UAACAGAUAGCCGCCAUUUUGUGUGUUUUGUGUUCGUGAUAUUUCGGCAUUUUGUGACUUUGAUACGGUUCUUUUUACUUUCUAAGUAGUGCUAAACAGUUUUACAACAUGUAUUCCAACUGGAUAGUUAAAGAAUUAAAAAAUGAGUUGAGAAAACGUGGUGCAUCUUUACGAGGAAAAAAAGUGGAUUUUGUCGAAAGUUACAAUGUUGAUGUUUUAUUUUAACUUAAAAAACUUCUCUCAAACUGUUUCCGGUAGCUAUUAUUAGAGCUAGGUAUAUGACCAAAAUUUUAAUUUUGAAACAAAAUGAAAAAAUUGCUCUAGCAAAAUAUGCUAAUAUAUAUGAUUUGCUAGUGGAGCCAUGUGGCAUUUUCAUUAGACAAGAGCGCCCAUAUCUUGCUGCAUCUCCUGAUGGUGUGUUGGGCGAAGAAACUAUAAUUGAAGUGAAAUGUCCUUAUGCUAGCAGAAAACAUGAAAUAAAUAUAACAACGGUGCCUUACUUAGAACAAUGUAACGGGAUAUUGUCUCUAAAAAAAACCUGCCAUAUUAUUAUCCAAUCCAAGGGCAGUUAUACUGCUCAGGCAAAACAUACUGCAACUUGGUCAUUUACACCUACAAGGACAUCAAAGUGAUUUAUGUUGAAAAAGACAAUAAUUUUAUAAAUAAUAUGUUAAAUAAAUUAUUUUAUAAAUAAUAUAGUUAAAUUAAUUAAUCUUUUAUGAAAAUAUUUUCAAAGAAGCAUUGUAUGAAAAAUAUCUGUAUUUAGUCCGGUCAAUUUAGACCAAAAAAUGAGAGUGAAGUUACAUAAAGUCCCAACAAGCUGAAUUUCAGUGAAAUUGUUCAAAAUAUAAUUAUAAACAAUGUCUAGAAGUUCCCCAUCAUUCCCCUGUAAGGAAUUUUUUUUAUUCAAGGUCAAAGGUCAAAAAAAUAAGUUUUUCGCGAUUUUCAGCAAAACGGUAAGUUUUAUCAUAAAAGUACUUCAGACAAAAAUUGUAGACCAUAAAAUUAUCUAUAAAAAAUGUAUCAAUACUUUUUAUCUUACGAGCCACCGUUUCUGAGAUAUAACGAUUCAAAAAGUUAUAAAAGUUGUUAUCGCCAUAAUAUGCAUGAGUACGCCACGUAUAUACAUCUAGAGUUGUUAUAUUUUAUAUGAUAUAUAUAAUAGCUAUAUAUAAUAAGUCCUUAAAAAAACUACCUGUUUAGAUAAGCAUCGAUAUGCAUGUUUC